Oryza sativa Japonica Group (Japanese rice) is the source of this 204-nucleotide microRNA precursor. It matches the Rfam family "MIR812 microRNA precursor family". The record is from Rfam. Lineage: Eukaryota; Viridiplantae; Streptophyta; Magnoliopsida; Poales; Poaceae.
UUUAAGUGCAACCAUAAGUUUCCGUGCCCAACUUUGAUCGUCCAUCUUAUUUAAAAUUUUUUUAUAAUUAGUAUUUUCGUUGUUAUGAGAUGAUAAAACAUGAAUAGUACUUUACUCAUAACUUAUGUUUUAAAUUUUUUUUCAAUUUUUUUCAAAUAAGACGGACGAUUAGAGUUGGAUGAAAAAACCAUGGUUGCACUUAAA